AAUGGGAGAUAAACUUCUUCUAAAGCUAAAUAUUUAUGGGAAACCGAUAGCGAACAAGUACUGCGAAGGAAAGGUGAAAAGAACUUUGAAAAGAGGGUUAAAAGACUUGAAAUCGUUGAGAAGGAAGUGGUUAAAGAGUAAUCAUUUGUGUACAAUAAAUGCUUUGCUUCCCUGGCUUUAGCGCGUUUUAGUACUUCAUAGGCUGUGCGUGUUAAACGUUAGGUAGCUUGGCUGUCUUUGUAUGCAAGAGGCAACAUGAAGUUUAGUAAUGGGAAUAAACCAGCAGAACGACCCGCAAGGAGUCUGUUGAUGAAACCGUAAUUAAGCUUGAGGGGCCUGAGGGCGAUGUUGUCAAAAUGGCUUUAACUGUCCCGUCUUGUAACACGGUCCAUGGAGUGUAACCUACGCGCAAGUGUUAGGGUGGAAAAACCCGAACGCAUAAGGAAACUAAGGAUAUGUUGUUUACAGCAACAGCGGACCUAGCGUCUUUGACAAAGGGCUCCAGCAAGAGCGAGUAUGUUACGACCCGAAAGAUGAUGAACUUUACUUGAGUAGGGUGAAGCCAGGGGAAACUCUGGUGGAAGCUCGCAAGAUCUUCUGACGUGCAAAUCGAUUUCCAAACUUGAGUAAAGGGGCGAAAGACUAAUCGAAUCAUCUAGUAGCUGGUUCCCUCUGAAGUUUCUCUCAGGAUAGCUGGAACAAACCAAGCAGUUUUAUUAGGUAAAGCGAAUGAUUAGAGGAAUCGGGACUUAAAGGGUUUUGACCUAUUCUCAAACUUUAAAUUGGUAAGAACCGGGGGUUAACUUAAUUGAACCUCUGGGCAGAAUGCUUGUUCCAAGUGGGCCAUUUUUGGUAAGCAGAACUGGCGAUGAGGGAUGAACCUAACGCUUAGAUAAGGUUCCUAAGUAUGCAUUCAUGAGAUCCCACAAAAGGUGUUGGUUCAUUAACACAGCAGGACAGUGGCCCUGGAAGUCGGAAUCUGCUAAGUAGUGUGUAACAACUAACCUGCCGAAUGAACUAGCCCUGAAAAUUUAAGGAGCUAAAAUGCAUCACCGAUACUAAGCCAUUACAGCAAAUUUGAGGCUGUGAUGAGUAAGAGGGCGUGUCCGUCUCGUGUAGAAGCCCUUAGUGUGAACUUGGGUGGAACGGCGGAUAGUGCAGAUCUUGGAGGUAGUAGCAAAUAUAAAUGUGAGAACCAUUUAGAUCGAAGUGGGGAAGGGUUUCUUGUGAACAGCAAUUGGACAAGAGUUACUCGAUCCUAAGGCAUAGGGCAAGUCCUUGGAAUGCAAAACAGUGUAUACUGUUGCUGCCAAAAGGGAAACAGGUUAAUAUUCCUGUAGUCGACCUCGGAUAAUGUGGCAACACAAAUGAGCCUGCAGACCUCAGCAUGAACCACUGGAAGAGUUGUCUUUUCUUUUUAACUGCUUAUGGCCCUGAAAUUGGAUUAUCCAGAGAAAGGGCUGUAAGGCAGGCAGAGCAGCUCACCCUAUGAGCUGUCAGUUGAGUUCUUGAUGAGCCUUGAAAACGCAGGGGAGAUUUUUAUUUCGAGUCGAAUCGUACCCAUAACCGCAUCAGGUCUCCUAGGUUAACAGCCUCUGAUCAAUAGAAGAAUGUAGAUAAGGGAAGUCGGCAAAAUAGAUCCGUAACUUCGGGAUAAGGAUUGGCUCUGAGGAUUGGGUGUAGGGGCCCUUUAAUGAACGUCACCAUAAGUGUCCUGUGUGCUUUUCGGAGUGUGCUAGUGCUAGUGGGGGCUGGAUUUAUUGGGACGUCUUCAUCGGCUCUCCCUUCACAAGGAACAAUCAACUCAGAACUGAAGCGGACAAGGGGAAUCCGACAGUUUAAUAAAAACCAAGCAUUGUGAUGUCGGGAAACCGAGUUGACACAAUGUGAUUUCUGCUCAGUGCUUUGAAUGUCAAAGUGAAGAAAUUCAAAUAAGCGCAAGUCAACAGCGGGAGUAACUAUGACUCUCUUAAGGUAGCCAAAUGCCUCGUCAUCUAACUAGUGACGCGCAUGAAUGGAUC
Molecule: ribosomal RNA, 2021 nt
Filed under: Loxechinus albus
Lineage: Eukaryota; Metazoa; Echinodermata; Echinoidea; Camarodonta; Echinidae
Description: eukaryotic LSU rRNA
Rfam family: Eukaryotic large subunit ribosomal RNA
Source: RNAcentral